Molecule: long non-coding RNA, 1796 nt
Organism: Homo sapiens (human)
Lineage: Eukaryota; Metazoa; Chordata; Mammalia; Primates; Hominidae
Exons: 3
Source: RefSeq, a predicted model, not a curated record
ACAUUUCCAUCUGCUAGCUGCAUAACAGGGGCAAUGCAGGUGCAUUCCUGCAUGCAUUGUCUCUCUCAUGAAGCCCUACAUCUCCAUCGUACCACUUGCAUACAUAAAAAAGCUUGGUAGACACUUGUGCACUGUAUGAGUCCGUUUUCAUGCUCCUGAUAAAGACAUACCCCAGACUGAGAAGAAAAAGAGGUUUAAUUGGACUUACAGUUCCACAUGGCUGGAGAGGCCUCAGAGACAUGGUGGGAGGCAAAAAGCACUUCUUACAUAGCGGCAACAGGAGAAAAUGAGGAAGAAGCAAAAGCGGAAACGCUGAUAAACCCAUCAGAUCAGGGCUUCUGCAGUACUAUGCUGAACAGAAGAGGUGAAGGUAAGCAUCCUCAUCUUAUUCCUCAUCUUAUAGGAAAAGCUUUCACAUUUUCUCCAUUGAGGAUGAUGUUUAUUGUGGGCUUGUCAUACAUGAACUUUAUUAUGUUGAUGUACUUGCUUUCUAAACCUAGCUGUUGUGUGUUUUUAUCAUGAAAAGGUAUUGAAUUUUGUCAAAUACUUUUUUUGUAUUUAUUUACAUUAUCUUGUUAUUUUUAUCCUUCAUUCUAUUAAUGUGGUAUAUUGCAUUUGCUAAUUUGUAUAUGACGUUGAACCACCCUAAAGGUUCCUCAAAUAAAAACUUAGAACAAAUAAACAAAUUCAGUAAGGUUUCAGGAUACCAAAUCAAUGUACACAAAUCCACUGCAUUUCUAUUCACUAAAAGUAAAGCAUCUGAAAAGGAAAUUAAGAAAACAAUCCCAUGUACAAUGGCGUCAGAAAGAAUAAAAUGCUUGGUAAUAAACGUGACCAAGAAAGUGAAAUACUUGCUUCUUGAUAACUAUAAAACAUUGAUGAAAAAAAUUAAAGACACAAAUAAAUAAAAAACUUCCUCUGUGUUCAUGGAUUGAAUGACAAUAUUGAUCGGGUAUCCACACUAAACAAAGUAAUCUACAGAUUUAAAUUUAUUGCCAUCAAAUUCCCAAUGGCAUUUUUUAAAAUAUAAAAGCAAUUUGAAAUUCAUAUGGAACUACAAAAGAUCCAAAACACCCACAGAAAUCUUGAGACAGAGGAACAAAGCUGAAGGUAUCACACUUCCUGAUUUCAAAAUAUAUUAUAGAGCUACAGUAAUAAAACAGUAUGGUACAAGCAUAAAGACAAACAUAUAAACAAACAGAACAGAAUGGAGAGCCCAGAAAUAAACCCAUAUAUAUGGACAAGUGACCUGUGACACAGAUGCCAAGAAUACACAGUAGGGAAUGGAUACUCUCUUCAACAAAUGGCAUGAAGAAUAUCAGGUAUCAUGGAGUUUUCAGCCUUUUUGCGUGGGUUUUCCCUCAUGUUCAUGGAUUUAUCUACCUUUGGUCUUUGAUGCUGGUGACCUUCAGGUGGGGUUUUUGUGUGAAUGUCCUUUUUGAUGAUGUUGAUGUUAUUCCUUUCUGUUUGUUGGUUUUCAGGUUAAAGACUUAAACCUAAGACCUAAAAAUCAUAAAAGCCCUAGAAGAAAACCUAGGCAAUACCAUUCAGGACAUAGGCACGGGCAAAGACUUUAUGACUAAAACACCAAAAGCAAUUGCAACAAAAGCCAAAAUUGACAAAUGGGAUCUAAUUAAACUAAAGAGCUUCUGCACAGCAAAAGAAAUUAUCAUCAGAGUGAACAGGCAACCUACAGAAUGGGAGAAAAUUUUUGCAAUCUAUUCAUCUGACAAAGGGCUAAUAUCCAGAAUCUAAAAGGAACUUAAACAAAUUUACAAGGAAAAAAAAAUCAAAAA